Molecule: ribosomal RNA, 250 nt
Filed under: uncultured bacterium
Lineage: Bacteria
Description: partial 16S ribosomal RNA
Rfam family: Bacterial small subunit ribosomal RNA
Source: RNAcentral
UACGAGUGCUUCGAGCGUUAUCCGGAAUUAUUGGGCGUAAAGGGUGUGUAGGCGGUCAUGUUAGUCUCGCGUUAAAUGCUCCGGCUCAACCGGAGCGCCGCGUGGGAAACGGCAUGACUGGAGGACGGAAGAGGUUUCUGGAACUCUCGGUGUAGCGGUGAAAUGCGUUGAUAUCGAGGGGAACACCAAAAGCGAAGGCAAGAAACUGGUCCGCUCCUGACGCUGAAACACGAAAGCGUGGGUCGCGAAU